Molecule: ribosomal RNA, 384 nt
Filed under: uncultured prokaryote
Also listed under: 1 other name
Description: bacterial SSU rRNA
Rfam family: Archaeal small subunit ribosomal RNA
Source: RNAcentral
GCGCGAAAACUUUACAAUGCGGGCAACCGUGAUAAGGGAACCUCGAGUGCCUGUAUAUGCAGGCUGUCCAGGUGUCUAAAUAACACCUGAAGAAAGGGCCGGGCAAGACCGGUGCCAGCCGCCGCGGUAAUACCGGCGGCUCGAGUGGUGGCCGCUUUUAUUGGGCUUAAAGCGUUCGUAGCUGGGUUAUUAAGUCUCUUGGGAAAUCCGGCGGCUCAACCGUCGGGCGUCUAAGGGAUACUGGUAAUCUUGGAACCGGGAGAGGUGAGGGGUACUUCGGGGGUAGGAGUGAAAUCCUGUAAUCCUCGAGGGACCACCUGUGGCGAAGGCGCCUCACCAGAACGGCUUCGACAGUGAGGGACGAAAGCUGGGGGAGCAAACCGG